GGUUCAGGACGAACGCUGGCGGCGUGCUUAACACAUGCAAGUCGAGCGAUGAAGCUCCUUCGGGAGUGGAUUAGCGGCGGACGGGUGAGUAACACGUGGGUAACCUGCCUCAUAGAGGGGAAUAGCCUUUCGAAAGGAAGAUUAAUACCGCAUAAGAUUGUAGUACCGCAUGAUACAGCAAUUAAAGGAGUAAUCCGCUAUGAGAUGGACCCGCGUCGCAUUAGCUAGUUGGUGAGGUAACGGCUCACCAAGGCGACGAUGCGUAGCCGACCUGAGAGGGUGAUCGGCCACAUUGGGACUGAGACACGGCCCAGACUCCUACGGGAGGCAGCAGUGGGGAAUAUUGCACAAUGGGGGAAACCCUGAUGCAGCAACGCCGCGUGAGUGAUGACGGCCUUCGGGUUGUAAAACUCUGUCUUUGGGGACGAUAAUGACGGUACCCAAGGAGGAAGCCACGGCUAACUACGUGCCAGCCGCAGC
This 480-nucleotide ribosomal RNA is filed under the name uncultured bacterium. RNAcentral describes it as "bacterial SSU rRNA". It matches the Rfam family "Bacterial small subunit ribosomal RNA", at positions 21 to 518 of the family's 1533-position model. The record is from RNAcentral.